RNAcentral lists this transfer RNA (67 nucleotides) under Phaneroptera gracilis (slender bush katydid). RNAcentral's name for it is "tRNA-Glu". RNAcentral also lists the same sequence under 1 other name. Lineage: Eukaryota; Metazoa; Arthropoda; Insecta; Orthoptera; Tettigoniidae. The record is from RNAcentral.
AUUUAUAUAGUUUAAAUAAAACAAUACAUUUUCAUUGUAUAAAUAAUAUUUCUUAUAUUUAUAAAUA